This 482-nucleotide ribosomal RNA is filed under the name uncultured bacterium. RNAcentral's name for it is "bacterial SSU rRNA". It matches the Rfam family "Bacterial small subunit ribosomal RNA", at positions 29 to 506 of the family's 1533-position model. The record is from RNAcentral.
ACGAACGCUGGCGGCGUGGCUAAGGCAUGCAAGUCGAACGAACCUAUCCAACGGGUAACUGGAGGGUAGGCUAGUGGCGAACGGGUGAGGAAUACAUGGAUAACGUACCCCAGACUCAGGGAUAGCGGCGGGCCGCAAGGUCCUUUGCGAAAGUGCCGGUAAUACCUGAUGACCUCGUGGAGUCGCAUGACUCCGCGGGCAAAGCUCCGACGGUCUGGGAGCGGUUCAUGUCCUAUCAGCUAGUUGGUGAGGUAACGGCCCACCAAGGCUUUGACGGGUAUCGGGCGUGAGAGCGUGACCCGACACAUCGGAACUGAGACACUGUCCGGACACCUACGGGUGGCUGCAGCAACGAAUAUUCCGCAAUGGACGAAAGUCUGACGGAGCGACGCCGCGUGCAGGAAGAAGUCUUUCGGGAUGUAAACUGCUGUCAGGGGUGAGGAAUCAUGACCAGCCCCAGAGGAAGCACCGGCUAACUCCGU